Molecule: long non-coding RNA, 524 nt
Organism: Capsicum annuum
Lineage: Eukaryota; Viridiplantae; Streptophyta; Magnoliopsida; Solanales; Solanaceae
Exons: 2
Source: RefSeq, a predicted model, not a curated record
UAAUUAAUAGUAAUCAAAAGGGUCAAAUAUUUCCUUUGUUCACUAGGAAACUAAUUCCAGGAAACCAGAAAGUGAGGUACUUCCUUUGUUUUCAUUCUUUUCCUUACCAACUUAGAAAAUCAAUUAUAACCGUAAGAGAAAACUUGAGGCGACAGCUGGACUACUAGUACUUGACUUCUUCUCCUUCUCUCGACAUACACGAAUUCAUUAGAAGAGGAAGGGAGGACAUGAUUCUUGCAAUAAUUUGGAAAUAAUCUUUGAGGGAUGACUUCAAUAACCUAAAGUUGGAGUUGAAUUUUAAAAGCUAGUGAAUUGUGUAUUGGAUAGCAGGAAAUAGGGUUGGAAGGUUAAAGACUUCAAUAUCGCGGGUUGAAUUACUUGAGGCUCGAAUUACUAUCGUAGCUAAUAAAUCAUUAAGGUAUGUAAAGGUUUCGCUAAGGCACCGCCCUACGUCAUGUACCUCCUCCUAUCAAUGUUAGUAUGAUUCUCAUGAAAUACUAGAGUAGAAUCUUUAUAUUGUCUUA